CUCAGACAGGUAGGACUACCCGCUGAACUUAAGCAUAUCAAUAAGCGGAGGAAAAGAAACUAACAAGGAUUCCCCUAGUAACGGCGAGUGAAGAGGGAAAAGCCCAAGUUUGAAAGCUGGCACCUUCGGUGUCCGCAUUGUAAACUCGAGAAGCAUUAUCCGCGCCGGACCGAGCUUUAAAUCCUUUGGAAUAAGGUACCUUAGAGGGUGAUAGUCCCUUUCAUAGUUCGGAACCCCCGGGGCUUUGUGAUUUGCUCUCCAAGAGUCGAGUUGUUUGGGAAUGCAGCUCAAAAUGGGUGGUAAAUGCCAUCUAAGGCUAAAUAUAGAGGAGAGACCGAUAGCGAACAAGUACCGUGAGGGAAAGAUGAAAAGAACUUUGGAAAGAGAGUUAAACAGUACGUGAAAUUGCCGGAAGGGAAGGGUAGGAAGUCAGAUAUGCCUUUGCGGAUUCAGCUUGACCUUUCGAGGUUGUGUGUAUUUCCGUCUCGGCAGGCCAACAUCGAUUUUGGCUGUCGGAUAUGAGUGGAAGGAAUGUGGCACUCUCUUCGGACGGUGUGUUAUAGCCUUUUCUUUGGUACGGCGGCUGGGAUCGAGAACGCAGUGCACCCUUGUGGGCGGGCCUUCGGGCACCUUUGCACAUAGGAUGUUGGCUUAAUGGCUCUCUGCCACCCGUCUUGAAACACGGACCA
This 689-nucleotide ribosomal RNA is filed under the name Thecaphora affinis. RNAcentral's name for it is "LSU rRNA". It matches the Rfam family "Eukaryotic large subunit ribosomal RNA", at positions 1 to 668 of the family's 3401-position model. Lineage: Eukaryota; Fungi; Basidiomycota; Ustilaginomycetes; Urocystidales; Glomosporiaceae. The record is from RNAcentral.